Molecule: non-coding RNA, 25 nt
Filed under: Rattus norvegicus (Norway rat)
Lineage: Eukaryota; Metazoa; Chordata; Mammalia; Rodentia; Muridae
Source: RNAcentral
UGCGGUAUAACCUGCAAGCAUCCCC